CAAGCAGUCUGGAGUGGAAGCAGAAGACUUCCUAAAAAAUAAGCAGGGAAAUCAGCGGCAACACCUGAACAAAAGAGAUUCAGUGCUGUUGUAAGAUCAUCCCUGGGUGCAUCAAAAAUGUGGACCACUGCCUGCAAGGGAGCGGAAAUUGACUGGAACCCUGUCAUAAGCAAAGUCACAGCAGAGUUGCCCUGCAGCCUCGUCGGCAAAGAGCAGGAAAUUCUGAAAAAAGCCUUAAAAAUGCUCCGAAACAGGAGGGAGGACCUCCGAAGGUCAGG
This is a long non-coding RNA of Brienomyrus brachyistius, 278 nucleotides long. RefSeq lists it as uncharacterized. The transcript has 3 exons. The record is from RefSeq and is a predicted model, not a curated record. NCBI's taxonomy places the organism in Eukaryota, Metazoa, Chordata, Actinopteri, Osteoglossiformes, Mormyridae.